RNAcentral lists this ribosomal RNA (455 nucleotides) under uncultured bacterium. RNAcentral describes it as "SSU rRNA". It matches the Rfam family "Bacterial small subunit ribosomal RNA", at positions 26 to 518 of the family's 1533-position model. The record is from RNAcentral.
AGGAUGAACGCUGGCGGCGUGCCUAAUACAUGCAAGUCGAGCGGCAGCGCGGUCUUCGGACUGGCGGCGAGCGGCGGACGGCUGAGUAACACGUAGGAACGUACCCCAAAGUGAGGGAUAAGCACCAGAAAUGGUGUCUAAUACCGCAUGUGCUCUAAGGAGUAAAGCUUCGGCGGUUUGGGAACGGCCUGCGCAUGAUUAGCUUGUUGGUGAGGUAAAAGCUCACCAAGGCGACGAUCAUUAGCUGGUCUGAGAGGAUGAUCAGCCAGACUGGGACUGAGAACGGCCCAGACUCCUACGGGAGGCAGCAGUAGGGAAUUUUCCACAAUGGGCGAAAGCCUGAUGGAGCAACGCCGCGUGCAGGAUGAAACCCUUCGGGCGUAAGCUGCUUUUAUGGUGACGAAUAUGACGGUAGCCAAUGAAUAAGGAUCGGCUAACUCCGUGCCAGCAGCCGC